Long non-coding RNA from Gasterosteus aculeatus aculeatus (three-spined stickleback), 1478 nucleotides. RefSeq lists it as uncharacterized. The record is from RefSeq and is a predicted model, not a curated record. NCBI's taxonomy places the organism in Eukaryota, Metazoa, Chordata, Actinopteri, Perciformes, Gasterosteidae.
CGCGAUUCAAGUCACACGGUUAAGAGGGCGCACCUCCGCCGGAGUUUGUUCAGCUGCUUGCCUGAAAGGCUUCGCAAACAACUGCAGAUGCCGACAGGCAGCGAUGUUUGGAAAAAGAAAAAAAAGAAGAAAAAAAAGGCUGAGAGCACUCGAAUGUUUAACAGGUGUUUGGGACGAUUGAGCGGAAUGCAUAUUGAGUAACCGAGGGCCGCGGAAAACAGGCAUCCGUCAAACCCGGGUGCGGACAGAGGAGCGAGGAAGAUUUGCAGUGACUGACCCUCUGACGCCCUCUCCUAAGAGGUGUGGUCGUUCCCCGAGGGUUAAUGGAUUAAAUCCAUAGAUUUAGAUAUUUAACUCUCAGCAGUACGGCAACACAGUUUGAGCACUCACAGAAUAUUUUAACAGAGUAGAUUCAUUUAAUGGCAUUUGCUAGUUUCCUGUUUGGCUCCAUGAAGACAUAUUACGUCUACAAAUACAUUUCAACCCAUGCUUACUGCUUACUGUAUAUGGGUGCAACAGGGGGGGGGGGGUCAGUUUGGUUACUGUGUAGUGCCUUGGGACUUCUUCCAUUUGCCUGCAAACAGAGAUAAAUCUUUAGUUUGCUUUCUAGUUUCCUCAAUUACGAAGAUAACACAUGCGAGUUGUGGUCCAUGGACCCCGCAAGUAAAAAAUGCAUGAUUACGCCCAUUAACAUUUCUUCUGCCUGAGAAAGUGACAAUAAAAGGUCUUCAAAAGAGCUGGACUUGAACUCUGAAGCCACCUUCCUUUUUCAGUUUUUAAUGUCAGCUCGGUGAGCAGAACAUCUGUUCCUACAGCUUUGCAGUGUUUUUAAAUCCUCUCAAGACUAGAAGGAGUUGCCUGUCGGGUUGUUGUUGGAUGAAAGCUUUUGUCGGACAGCGCUUUGGCUCCCUCACUAGUACAUCCUGAUGCCAUGUUGUAAUAGCUUUAUCUAGCGCAGGCUUCUUUAAAUGACGCCUAAUUGGGGGUCUUCGCCGCACCCUUUCCUACUGUGGCUCCAUGAGGCAAUCAACCUGCCGCGUUAUCGCCACAUCUUAAUAAAAACUAAAAUGAUUGGACCACAACCCAGGACUUCCCAUAGAAAUAGGAAAAGGAGGGAGGAGGGAUGCGGUUAAAAGGCAACCGAAAAAAAACAAAACAAGAAAACAUCCUGACCUAAAACGACAUGUGUGAGUGGGCUUUCAAUACACAGGAUGUAGAGAGCGUUUGGUGGGUUCGGCAUGUCGGCGAAGUAGAAAAUGCAAGAAAAAAGAGAAAAUAAGUUGUCACGCAAGCGACGGAGUAGACCACACAGCAGGGAGGAGCUUCGUGUAUGUGCGAUAUGAUUAACGACUGCAGUGUUUAAAACAUUUACACGUUGCAAAAGUGUUUGGCAUCCAGCAGCAGGUUUCAGCUGUGUGAUGAACUCUUUCUGGGAAACAUUGGUUUAAAGGAGUUAAGUAAUUAUAUCCUAGAAUUUC